ACGGGGUGCAGCAGGCGCGAAACCUCCUCAAUGCACUUACGUGCGAAGGGGGUACCUCGAGUGCCACCUGAUGAAGGUGGCUUUUCCUAGGUCUAAAAAGCCUUGGGAAUAAGAGGGGGGCAAGACUGGUGUCAGCCGCCGCGGUAACACCAGCCCCUCGAGUGGUGGGGAUGAUUAUUGGGCCUAAAGCGUCCGUAGCCUGCCGUAUAAGUUUCCCGUUAAAUCCAGCGUCUCAAGCGUUGGACUGCGGGAAAUACUGUACGGCUAGAGAGUGGGAGAGGUCAGCGGUAUUCUGGGGGUAGGGGCGAAAUCCUUUGAUCCCCGGAGGACCACCAGUGGCGAAGGCUGCUGACUAGAACACGUCUGACGGUCAGGGACGAAAGCUGGGGUAGCGAACCGGAUUAGAUACCCGGGUAGUCCCAGCCGUAAACGAUGCAUGCUAGGUGUUGGGUUGGCCACGAGCCACCCCAGUGCCGCAGGGAAGCCGUUAAGCAUGCCGCCUGGAAGUACGAUCGCAAGG
RNAcentral lists this ribosomal RNA (520 nucleotides) under uncultured archaeon. RNAcentral describes it as "bacterial SSU rRNA". It matches the Rfam family "Archaeal small subunit ribosomal RNA", at positions 325 to 848 of the family's 1478-position model. The record is from RNAcentral.